AAAAAAGGUAAGCUACUAAGAGCGAAUGGUGGAUGCCUUGACUGGUAAAGGCGAUGAAGGACGUACUAGACUGCGAUAAGCUACGGGGAGCUGUCAAGAAGCUUUGAUCCGUAGAUUUCCGAAUGGGGCAACCCAAUGUAUAGAGAUAUACAUUACCUAUAUAGGAGCGAACGAGGGGAAUUGAAACAUCUUAGUACCCUCAGGAAAAGAAAUCAAUAGAGAUUGCGUCAGUAGCGGCGAGCGAAAGCGCAAGAGGGCAAACCCAGUGCUUGCACUGGGGGUUGUAGGACUGCAAUGUGCAAGAGGUGAGUUUAGCAGAACAUUCUGGAAAGUAUAGCCAUAGAGGGUGAUAGUCCCGUAUGCGAAAAACAAACCUUAGCUAGCAGUAUCCUGAGUAGGGCGGGACACGAGAAAUCCUGUCUGAAGCUGGGUCGACCACGAUCCAACCCUAAAUACUAAUACCAGAUCGAUAGUGCACAAGUACCGUGAGGGAAAGGUGAAAAGAACUGAGGUGAUCAGAGUGAAAUAGAACCUGAAACCAUUUGCUUACAAUCAUUCAGAGCACUAUGUAGCAAUACAGUGUGAUGGACUGCCUUUUGCAUAAUGAGCCUGCGAGUUGUGGUGUCUGGCAAGGUUAAGCAAACGCGAAGCCGUAGCGAAAGCGAGUCUGAAUAGGGCGCUUAGUCAGAUGCUGCAGACCCGAAACGAAGUGAUCUAUCCAUGAGCAAGUUGAAGCUAGUGUAAGAACUAGUGGAGGACUGAACCCAUAGGCGUUGAAAAGCCCCGGGAUGACUUGUGGAUAGGGGUGAAAGGCCAAUCAAACUUCGUGAUAGCUGGUUCUCUCCGAAAUAUAUUUAGGUAUAGCGUUGUGUCGUAAUAUAAGGGGGUAGAGCACUGAAUGGGCUAGGGCAUACACCAAUGUACCAAACCCUAUCAAACUCCGAAUACCUUAUAUGUAAUCACAGCAGUCAGGCGGCGAGUGAUAAAAUCCGUCGUCAAGAGGGAAACAACCCAGACUACCAGCUAAGGUCCCUAAAUCUUACUUAAGUGGAAAACGAUGUGAAGUUACUUAAACAACCAGGAGGUUGGCUUAGAAGCAGCCAUCCUUUAAAGAAAGCGUAAUAGCUCACUGGUCUAGUGAUUUUGCGCGGAAAAUAUAACGGGGCUAAAGU
RNAcentral lists this ribosomal RNA (1172 nucleotides) under Campylobacter coli. Its description in RNAcentral is "partial 23S ribosomal RNA". It matches the Rfam family "Bacterial large subunit ribosomal RNA", at positions 1 to 1188 of the family's 2925-position model. Lineage: Bacteria; Pseudomonadati; Campylobacterota; Epsilonproteobacteria; Campylobacterales; Campylobacteraceae. The record is from RNAcentral.